Molecule: ribosomal RNA, 253 nt
Filed under: uncultured bacterium
Lineage: Bacteria
Description: partial 16S ribosomal RNA
Rfam family: Bacterial small subunit ribosomal RNA
Source: RNAcentral
UACGGAGGGUGCUAGCGUUGUUCGGAAUUACUGGGCGUAAAGCGCACGUAGGCGGCUUUGUAUGUUAGAGGUGAAAGCCCGGAGCUCAACUCCGGAACUGCCUUUAAGACUGCAUCGCUUGAACGUCGGAGAGGUAAGUGGAAUUCCGAGUGUAGAGGUGAAAUUCGUAGAUAUUCGGAAGAACACCAGUGGCGAAGGCGACUUACUGGACGACUGUUGACGCUGAGGUGCGAAAGCGUGGGGAGCAAACAGG